RNAcentral lists this ribosomal RNA (2198 nucleotides) under Campylobacter coli. Its description in RNAcentral is "partial 23S ribosomal RNA". It matches the Rfam family "Bacterial large subunit ribosomal RNA", at positions 1 to 2049 of the family's 2925-position model. Lineage: Bacteria; Pseudomonadati; Campylobacterota; Epsilonproteobacteria; Campylobacterales; Campylobacteraceae. The record is from RNAcentral.
AAAAAAGGUAAGCUACUAAGAGCGAAUGGUGGAUGCCUUGACUGGUAAAGGCGAUGAAGGACGUACUAGACUGCGAUAAGCUACGGGGAGCUGUCAAGAAGCUUUGAUCCGUAGAUUUCCGAAUGGGGCAACCCAAUGUAUAGAGAUAUACAUUACCUAUAUAGGAGCGAACGAGGGGAAUUGAAACAUCUUAGUACCCUCAGGAAAAGAAAUCAAUAGAGAUUGCGUCAGUAGCGGCGAGCGAAAGCGUAAGAGGGCAAACCCAGUGCUUGCACUGGGGGUUGUAGGACUGCAAUGUGCAAGAGGUGAGUUUAGCAGAACAUUCUGGAAAGUAUAGCCAUAGAGGGUGAUAGUCCCGUAUGCGAAAAACAAACCUUAGCUAGCAGUAUCCUGAGUAGGGCGGGACACGAGAAAUCCUGUCUGAAGCUGGGUCGACCACGAUCCAACCCUAAAUACUAAUACCAGAUCGAUAGUGCACAAGUACCGUGAGGGAAAGGUGAAAAGAACUGAGGUGAUCAGAGUGAAAUAGAACCUGAAACCAUUUGCUUACAAUCAUUCAGAGCACUAUGUAGCAAUACAGUGUGAUGGACUGCCUUUUGCAUAAUGAGCCUGCGAGUUGUGGUGUCUGGCAAGGUUAAGCAAACGCGAAGCCGUAGCGAAAGCGAGUCUGAAUAGGGCGCUUAGUCAGAUGCUGCAGACCCGAAACGAAGUGAUCUAUCCAUGAGCAAGUUGAAGCUAGUGUAAGAACUAGUGGAGGACUGAACCCAUAGGCGUUGAAAAGCCCCGGGAUGACUUGUGGAUAGGGGUGAAAGGCCAAUCAAACUUCGUGAUAGCUGGUUCUCUCCGAAAUAUAUUUAGGUAUAGCGUUGUGUCGUAAUAUAAGGGGGUAGAGCACUGAAUGGGCUAGGGCAUACACCAAUGUACCAAACCCUAUCAAACUCCGAAUACCUUAUAUGUAAUCACAGCAGUCAGGCGGCGAGUGAUAAAAUCCGUCGUCAAGAGGGAAACAACCCAGACUACCAGCUAAGGUCCCUAAAUCUUACUUAAGUGGAAAACGAUGUGAAGUUACUUAAACAACCAGGAGGUUGGCUUAGAAGCAGCCAUCCUUUAAAGAAAGCGUAAUAGCUCACUGGUCUAGUGAUUUUGCGCGGAAAAUAUAACGGGGCUAAAGUAAGUACCGAAGCUGUAGACUUGCGCACAACUUAGAUUAUUUAAGUUUAGAAUAUGAGAAACUAAGUUAUAUGUUUAGUUAUAUUUUUACUGAUUUUUAUAGAGUAAAGAUAGAAAUAAAACUUAGUAAAAUCAGUAAAAAUAUUCUUAGACUAAAGUUAAGUAGUUUAAGUUGUGUGCAAGUGGUAGGAGAGCGUUCUAUUUGCGUCGAAGGUAUACCGGUAAGGAGUGCUGGAGCGAAUAGAAGUGAGCAUGCAGGCAUGAGUAGCGAUAAUUAAUGUGAGAAUCAUUAACGCCGUAAACCCAAGGUUUCCUACGCGAUGCUCGUCAUCGUAGGGUUAGUCGGGUCCUAAGUCGAGUCCGAAAGGGGUAGACGAUGGCAAAUUGGUUAAUAUUCCAAUACCAACAUUAGUGUGCGAUGGAAGGACGCUUAGGGCUAAGGGGGCUAGCGGAUGGAAGUGCUAGUCUAAGGUCGUAGGAGGUUAUACAGGCAAAUCCGUAUAACAAUACUCCGAGAACUGAAAGGCUUUUUGAAGUCUUCGGAUGGAUAGAAGAACCCCUGAUGCCAUCGAGCCAAGAAAAGUUUCUAAGUUUAGCUAAUGUUGCCCGUACCGUAAACCGACACAGGUGGGUGGGAUGAGUAUUCUAAGGCGCGUGGAAGAACUCUCUUUAAGGAACUCUGCAAAAUAGCACCGUAUCUUCGGUAUAAGGUGUGGUUCGCUUCGUAUUAGGAUUUACUCCGAAAGCGAAGAAACUUACAACAAAGAGUCCCUCCCGACUGUUUACCAAAAACACAGCACUCUGCUAACUCGUAAGAGGAUGUAUAGGGUGUGACGCCUGCCCGGUGCUCGAAGGUUAAUUGAUGGGGUUAGCAUUAGCGAAGCUCUUGAUCGAAGCCCGAGUAAACGGCGGCCGUAACUAUAACGGUCCUAAGGUAGCGAAAUUCCUUGUCGGUUAAAUACCGACCUGCAUGAAUGGCGUAACGAGAUGGGAGCUGUCUCAAAGAGGGAUCCAGUGAAAUUGUAGUG